RNAcentral lists this ribosomal RNA (305 nucleotides) under uncultured bacterium. RNAcentral describes it as "bacterial SSU rRNA". It matches the Rfam family "Bacterial small subunit ribosomal RNA", at positions 338 to 637 of the family's 1533-position model. The record is from RNAcentral.
CCUACGGGGGGCAGCAGUGGGGAAUAUUGGACAAUGGGGGGAACCCUGAUCCAGCGACGCCGCGUGAGUGAAGAAGUAUUUCGGUAUGUAAAGAUCUGUUGCCAGGGACGAAUAAGCAAUGCGAAUAGUUUUGUGUAUGACGGUACCUGUUUAGAAAGCUCCGGCUAACUACGUGCCAGCAGCCGCGGUAAUACGUAGGGAGCAAGCGUUGUCCGGAAUUACUGGGCGUAAAGGGCGCGUAGGUGGGCGCUUAAGUCAGGUGUGAAAACUCCGGGCUCAACCUGGAGACUGCACUUGAAACUGGG